UAUACUGCAGAUUGGCAAAAAAUGGAAAGGCUGGAAAAAUACCAGACGUUGGUGAGGAUGUGUGGAGACCAGAACAGCGUGGCUGGUGGGAGUGUAGCCUGGCACACAGCAACGUGGGAGGGGAACAAGAAAUGACUUAUUCUUCUUAUAUUAUAUGACCAAGGUGACAUAUCUACUGAGAAGACUUUGAUUAUCUGGGGGAAAAGAAGGUGCACAAGUCUUCAAAAUGAAAUAAAGUUACUUUUAAAAAAUUCAAACUUACCCAACAAGCAACUGCUGAUGACUGCAAAUACUUUGCAAACCAUUCUGAAGUGAAAGACAUGCCCUGUUCACAAAAAGUCCCAGAAUAAUGAGCAAAGGAAGUACGCAACAAGGAUGGAACAAAAAAACUACAACAUACUCACAAGAUCUCCAUAACGGGCAG
Molecule: long non-coding RNA, 424 nt
Organism: Mustela erminea (ermine)
Lineage: Eukaryota; Metazoa; Chordata; Mammalia; Carnivora; Mustelidae
Exons: 3
Source: RefSeq, a predicted model, not a curated record